AAAACAAUUUGUCCUUUAGCGUUUUUAGGCCUUAACGUCAAAACGUAAACUUUCGGGUCAAAGUACAAAUACAUAAAAGUAUCAAAACUUUAUGUAAUUGCAUAAAAGCCCCAAAAAUACCCUAUUUUAUUAGGGUGGCCGGUUUUUAGGGAUAAAAAAAAAAAUUGGUGGGUGUUUUGAUUUAUUAGUUUUGUCAAAAACAAUCAAGUAGUGCUUUCACCUUUCAUAAAAAUAAUAUAUGUUUUGAUGAUUGAUGUUUCCAUCAUCAUUUAUACAAAUAUUUAACAUUUUAAAUACUUUCAUAAAAUUAAUAUAUGUUUUGAUGAUUGAUGUUUCCAUCAUCAUUUAUACAAAUAUUUAACACUUUAAAUACAUAAUAAAUCAUUUGAAAAACAUAUAUCAUAAACUUUAUGAAAUAAAUCAAAACUUUGAAUCAAAACACAAAC
Molecule: long non-coding RNA, 446 nt
Filed under: Malus domestica (apple)
Lineage: Eukaryota; Viridiplantae; Streptophyta; Magnoliopsida; Rosales; Rosaceae
Description: long non-coding RNA (MDOM_LNC018491)
Source: RNAcentral